AUGGGCGCAAGCCUGAUGGAGCAACACCGCGUGAGUGAAGAAGGGUUUCGGCUCGUAAAGCUCUGUUGUUGGAGAAGAACGUGCGUGAGAGUAACUGUUCACGCAGUGACGGUAUCCAACCAGAAAGUCACGGCUAACUACGUGCCAGCAGCCGCGGUAAUACGUAGGUGGCAAGCGUUAUCCGGAUUUAUUGGGCGUAAAGCGAGCGCAGGCGGUUGCUUAGGUCUGAUGUGAAAGCCUUCGGCUUAACCGAAGAAGUGCAUCGGAAACCGGGCGACUUGAGUGCAGAAGAGGACAGUGGAACUCCAUGUGUAGCGGUGGAAUGCGUAGAUAUAUGGAAGAACAUCAGUGGCGAAGGCGGCUGUCUGGUCUGCAACUGACGCUGAGGCUCGAAAGCAUGGGUAGCGAACAGGAUUAGAUACCCUGGUAGUCCAUGCCGUAAACGAUGAGUGCUAGGUGUUGGAGGGUUUCCGCCCUUCAGUGCCGGAGCUAACGCAUUAAGCACUCCGCCUGGGGAGUACGACCGCAAGGUUGAAACUCAAAGGAAUUGACGGGGGCCCGCACAA
RNAcentral lists this ribosomal RNA (566 nucleotides) under Lactobacillus sp. oral taxon D06. RNAcentral's name for it is "bacterial SSU rRNA". It matches the Rfam family "Bacterial small subunit ribosomal RNA", at positions 371 to 928 of the family's 1533-position model. Lineage: Bacteria; Bacillati; Bacillota; Bacilli; Lactobacillales; Lactobacillaceae. The record is from RNAcentral.